CGGCCAGCUCUGAUCCUGUCCUCCCUGAGGGAUCCUGUACUGAGCUGCCCCGAGGCCCUCCAUUGCGCCCAGCUCGGGGCAGCUCAGUACAGGGUGCAUCGGGGCAGGAGCGAGCAGGGAGCACCGCC
This 128-nucleotide microRNA precursor is filed under the name Otolemur garnettii (small-eared galago). Its description in RNAcentral is "miRNA (ENSOGAG00000024527.1)". The stretch from base 30 to 97 matches the Rfam family "mir-486 microRNA precursor family". The record is from RNAcentral. Lineage: Eukaryota; Metazoa; Chordata; Mammalia; Primates; Galagidae.